CCUGCUUCCUCCCCUCCGGCCUGGAUCAUGCUCCAGCUCCUCACUGCUCUGGCGCUCUUGGGAGCGCUGGCCACCCCAGCAGGGACCUCCAAGACGUGUCCAGCCUGCUCUUUGCUGGGAGAUUGUACCGAGAGAACCUGUCCUCCCACCAAGGAAGCCUGCUUGUUUAGCCAGAUGCAGCUGGGUGGGGGGACCAGAGGGGGCCUGGGUGGAGGACCCAUAAAGUGGGUGGGGAAGGGUUUUGUGUGUCGGGGGUGAAGGCAUGAAAAAACCACCCCAGGACUGGACUCAUAACUCAGCAUAGGGCCGCUGGGGUGGUGGGGGGUUAGGGGACAGGCUUCAAUGCCAGCUGGGGGAUUGCUACAGACAGGGCCACGGUUGGGGCCGGGGUGUGGGGGAGUCUCUGAUCUCUCCUCCACAACCUCUGUCCCCAGAAAAUGGGAAUCUCAUCAAGAACGGGUCAUGUGUCGCCCCUGGGGAAUGCCGAGAAGGUGUCUACUCCCUGACCUAUGGCCCCGACUUGAGUCUCUGGGUCAGCAUGGCCUGUUGUGAGGACAACUGCAGCAAGGCCACCCGACAAGAGGCACCACCCAAAGCCCAGCUCAACGGAGUGAAAUGUCACCACUGUUUUGGGGAUAAGUCAGCCUUGUGUGACUCCCGUUCGGUCAUGAACUGCACUGGUGAUCAGACCGUGUGUCUCACCCUCAACGGGACAUGGAAUGGAGGUAAGAGUUUCUGGCCCUCAGGAGCAAUUUGGGUGAUGGGCCUCCCUCUCACCUGCGCAAACGAGUGCCGAGGU
RNAcentral lists this long non-coding RNA (799 nucleotides) under Canis lupus familiaris (dog). Its description in RNAcentral is "lncRNA (ENSCAFG00845008540.1)". Lineage: Eukaryota; Metazoa; Chordata; Mammalia; Carnivora; Canidae. The record is from RNAcentral.